UACGAAGGGGGCUAGCGUUGCUCGGAAUUACUGGGCGUAAAGGGCGCGUAGGCGGACAUUUAAGUUGGGGGUGAAAGCCCGGGGCUCAACCUCGGAAUUGCCUUCAAUACUGGAUGUCUUGAGUUCGGGAGAGGUGAGUGGAAUGCCGAGUGUAGAGGUGAAAUUCGUAGAUAUUCGGCGGAACACCAGUGGCGAAGGCGACUCACUGGCCCGUUACUGACGCUGAGGCGCGAAAGCGUGGGGAGCAAACAGG
This 253-nucleotide ribosomal RNA is filed under the name uncultured bacterium. RNAcentral describes it as "partial 16S ribosomal RNA". It matches the Rfam family "Bacterial small subunit ribosomal RNA", at positions 524 to 776 of the family's 1533-position model. The record is from RNAcentral.